Empidonax traillii (willow flycatcher) is the source of this 240-nucleotide long non-coding RNA. RefSeq lists it as uncharacterized. Lineage: Eukaryota; Metazoa; Chordata; Aves; Passeriformes; Tyrannidae. The transcript has 3 exons. The record is from RefSeq and is a predicted model, not a curated record.
AGGGGAAGCAGAGCAGGGUGAUGGGGUGGAGUGAGAAGAUAUAACUGGACUGUCCUGCCAUCUCAAGAGUUCACCUUCCAGUGAGGUAUCAGACCAGGGAACCACAUGCUGGAGCCACGGUGUGAAGUCUGUGAAAAGCUGACCACCCGGUGUUUUGAUUCCAUUCAAUAAAAACACCAGCAGCUCUGGAUUUAAUGAUUCAGCUCUUAAAUGUGCUGAACUCGUGCUUCUCACAGAGAA